AGAGUUUGAUCCUGGCUCAGGAUGAACGCUGGCGGCGUGCUUAACACAUGCAAGUCGAACGGGAAAUAUUUCAUUGAGACUUCGGUGGAUUUGAUCUAUUUCUAGUGGCGGACGGGUGAGUAACGCGUGGGUAACCUGCCUUAUACAGGGGGAUAACAGUCAGAAAUGGCUGCUAAUACCGCAUAAGCGCACAGAGCUGCAUGGCUCAGUGUGAAAAACUCCGGUGGUAUAAGAGGGUCCCGCGUUGGUCUAGCUGGUGGGUGGGGUACCGCCCCACCAACGCGCCGAUCGGUACCCGGCUUGAGAGCCGUGCCCGCCCGCAUGGGGAUUGAGCCACGCCCCAGAUUCUUCCGGGAGCCACCAGUGGGGAUAUAUUGCCACAAGGGGGGAACCCUGAGACGACAGGCACCGCGCUGUGAGAGAGAGAGAGAGCAUCUGGGUAGUGAUAACACUUCUUUCACCAGGAAGGAUCGAGACGGUACCUGCAUAAGAAGCUCCGGCUAACUACGUGCCAGCAGCCGCGGUAAUACGUAGGGAGCGAGCGUUUAUCCGGAUUUCAUGGGGCGUAAAGCAGCGGGUGGGGGCCCUGUCCGACCGGGAGUGUUGUAUCGGGAGGCUCCACCCCCCGACGCCCCCGGAACCUCCGAGGCUUGAGUCCGGUAGAGGCGGGUGGAACUCCCGGUGUAGCGGUGGAAUGCGCAGAUAUCGGGAGGAACACCGGUGGCGAAGGCGGCCCUCUGGGCCGCGACUGACGCUGAGGCGCGAAAGCUGGGGGAGCGAACAGGAUUAGAUACCCUGGUAGUCCCAGCCGUAAACGAUGGAUACUAGGUGUGGGGGGCUCCGCCCUGCGUGCGCGCAGCCAACGCAUUAAGUAUACGAAUUGGGGAGUAGGUCGCCAAGGAUGUAAUUCAAAGGAAGUGAGGAGGUACUGAACAAGCAGUUGUAUCACGAGGUACAAUUUGAAGUAUUGCGAAGA
RNAcentral lists this ribosomal RNA (976 nucleotides) under uncultured bacterium. RNAcentral describes it as "bacterial SSU rRNA". It matches the Rfam family "Bacterial small subunit ribosomal RNA", at positions 8 to 967 of the family's 1533-position model. The record is from RNAcentral.